UUCUUUGCACUCCUGCACCGUUUCUGUUCAAUACAACUUGCUUGCGAUUCAUCUGUCUUCUUGUGUCUGGAUGGGGAUUUAUUUAACACUACACUAAACGACUUUGCCCAUGGUUAAGUCAGGGUGCAGCCUCUCUGCUGUUUAAAUCAGGUGUUGGCCACAGACGGCCUUGAGUGUGGCUGACCAUGUCUCCUCCUUGGCUCACUGAAGCCCUGCACUCCUUUUCUAUCAUCAGCAAACAGGAUGAUUUAACACAAGACAUUUAUGAC
Long non-coding RNA from Carassius gibelio (silver crucian carp), 269 nucleotides. RefSeq lists it as uncharacterized. NCBI's taxonomy places the organism in Eukaryota, Metazoa, Chordata, Actinopteri, Cypriniformes, Cyprinidae. The transcript is spliced from 3 exons. The record is from RefSeq and is a predicted model, not a curated record.